Molecule: ribosomal RNA, 786 nt
Filed under: Triticum aestivum (bread wheat)
Lineage: Eukaryota; Viridiplantae; Streptophyta; Magnoliopsida; Poales; Poaceae
Description: partial small subunit ribosomal RNA
Source: RNAcentral
AUGGCACUGCCAUCCGAGGAGGUGGUGGCCAUACUCGCGCCGAUCAUCGUGUACUGGGUCGCCGCCGGUGUGUACACGGUGCUCGGCCGUGUACUGGCUGACCACAGGCUCCACUCGAGGGAGGAGGAGGAGGUCAGGAACCUCGUCCCCAAGCGUGUCGUGGUCCGCACCGUCCUCCUCCAGCACGUUCUCCAGGCGGCGAUAGCCUUCGCAGUCUUCAACGUGAAGCGAGAAGAUCGCCGGGUCGCCGACGCCGGCACCGGCGCCGCACCCGCCAUGGCCGUCAUCUGCUGCCAGUUCGUGGCUGCCAUGGUGGUCCUCGACACGUGGCAGUACGGGUGGCACCGCCUGAUGCACAGCAGCGGCCUGCUGUACCGCCACGUCCACUCGUGGCACCACAGGCUGGUGGCGCCGUACGCCUACGCCGCCCAGUACAACCACCCGCUGGAGGGCCUCGUACUGGACACGGCCGGCGGCGCGCUGGCGCUGGCCGUGACGGGGAUGGCGCCCCUGACGGCUGCCGCCUUCUUCUCGUUCGCGACUCUCAAGGCCGUCGACGACCACUCCGGCGUGCUUGUCCCGGGCAACCCGCUGCAUCUCCUGUUCCGCAACAACACGGCCUACCACGACGUCCACCACCAGGUCCGUGGUGGCCGCUGCAACUACGCGCAGCUGUUCUUUGUGGCGUGGGACAAGCUGAUGGGCACGUACGUCCCUUACGAGGUCGUCAGAGCUCGGCACGGCGGACUGGAGGCCGUGCCGUUGAAGAAGAAGAAGAAGGCCUGA